AAUAGAUACCCAGGUAGUCCAUGCCGUAAACGUUGGGCACUAGGUGUGGGGCUCAUUCCACGAGUUCCGUGCCGCAGCAAACGCAUUAAGUGCCCCGCCUGGGGAGUACGGCCGCAAGGCUAAAACUCAAAGAAAUUGACGGGGGCCCGCACAAGCGGCGGAGCAUGCGGAUUAAUUCGAUGCAACGCGAAGAACCUUACCAAGGCUUGACAUACACCGGAAACUUCCAGAGAUGGUUGCCCCGCAAGGUCGGUGUACAGGUGGUGCAUGGUUGUCGUCAGCUCGUGUCGUGAGAUGUUGGGUUAAGUCCCGCAACGAGCGCAACCCUCGUCCUAUGUUGCCAGCGGGUCAUGCCGGGGACUCAUAGGAGACUGCCGGGGUCAACUCGGAGGAAGGUGGGGAUGACGUCAAAUCAUCAUGCCCCUUAUGUCUUGGGCUUCACGCAUGCUACAAUGGCCGGUACAAAGGGCUGCGAUACCGCGAGGUGGAGCGAAUCCCGAAAAAGCCGGUCUCAGUUCGGAUUGGGGUCUGCAACUCCG
This 539-nucleotide ribosomal RNA is filed under the name uncultured bacterium. Its description in RNAcentral is "bacterial SSU rRNA". It matches the Rfam family "Bacterial small subunit ribosomal RNA", at positions 777 to 1314 of the family's 1533-position model. The record is from RNAcentral.